RNAcentral lists this ribosomal RNA (497 nucleotides) under uncultured bacterium. RNAcentral's name for it is "partial 16S ribosomal RNA". It matches the Rfam family "Bacterial small subunit ribosomal RNA", at positions 28 to 507 of the family's 1533-position model. The record is from RNAcentral.
GAUGAACGCUGGCGGCGUGCCUAAUACAUGCAAGUCGAGCGAACGGACGAGAAGCUUGCUUCUCUGAUGUUAGCGGCGGACGGGUGAGUAACACGUGGAUAACCUACCUAUAAGACUGGGAUAACUUCGGGAAACCGGAGCUAAUACCGGAUAAUAUUUUGAACCGCAUGGUUCAAAAGUGAAAGACGGUCUUGCUGUCACUUAUAGAUGGAUCCGCGCUGCAUUAGCUAGUUGGUAAGGUAACGGCUUACCAAGGCAACGAUGCAUAGCCGACCUGAGAGGGGGAUCGGCCACACUGGAACUGAGACACGGUCCAGACUCCUACGGGAGGCAGCAGUAGGGAAUCUUCCGCAGUGGGCGAAAGCCUGACGGAGCAAGGCCGCGUGAGUGAUGAAGGUCUUCGGAUCGUAAAACUCUGUUAUUAGGGAAGAACAUAUGUGUAAGUAACUGUGCACAUCUUGACGGUACCUAAUCAGAAAGCCACGGCUAACUACGUA